AAGUGUUAUAUAACAUAAACAAAGAUAUUUACGGUCAAAGUCGAAAGAAAAAGACUCAAAAAGUCAAAAUAAGACACUUAAUAUGUGACGGAGGGAUUAAUUCUUAGUUUCUGACCGUUUCUUUUGUCACCCACUCACCCUGACCCUUUUGAGAAAACUAUAUACCAAAUUCCUUUGCCACCUUGGUGGUGAUUAUUAAUUUGUGUUUAUAUACAUAUGUUUUACUUUAUUUGAUUUCAUGUUAAACCAUCUAUCAUUCAUCAAACAUUUUAUUGUUAGUUUCAUGCGAGCUAAACUAGCUUUUCUAAUUUCAAAGUAAUAUAGAUAUAGUACUCGUAAAAAAUUUGUUGUUAGUCCAAAAAAGCAAUAAAAAAAAAACAUUUUACGAAGAUAUAUUUUAUAACUCUUUUGCUAAAAGACAAUUUCAUAUAUUAACAUCUAUUGUACAACACAUUAUUAUAAAGUUUUAUUCUGUGUAAUAAAUAUUAUAAAGUAUAUCAUUCUUUUUUUAUGCCAAAACCUCGUAUGUUUACUUAGACCUUAUCUAAACUUAAUUAUUUUUUCUCGUCGCUUUCUUCGGCCCACAUCAUUUUUUUCUUAUUUCAUAUUUCAAAAAAUAGUAUUAUCAACCAUAAUUUUUUUUUUCUCAAUCUCUUUCUCAAAUAACUUACGAGAAAAUGAUUCGUACUACGCCGCUUUACCUAUCUUAUGUGUCUUGUUAAAAAAAGUUAUAAAUUAAACCUUUAAAUUUAAUAAACAUACAUAACCCCUGAAUUUUAUAUAAUUUCCCUUGCUUUACCUAUCUUAUAGCUUUACCUAAGUUUUCCCAUAACUUAUUACUAAAAAAAAACUCAGUCUUUCUUUUUAAUUGGUUCGAAUGAAUCAGUAAAGUAACAACGGAUUGGUGGAAUGAGGGAUCAAGAGACAGAUAGGGGGAGAAUGGCAAUCAUUGGUGGACCUUCCCUUGAAAUUUGUACACAUGAUCCCACCUAACCCCAACCUCCAUCUUUCUCGGAUUUUCUCACCAGAAAAUUGUGAUUUUUUUUUUCUUAUGAAAAUGGCUGAGACAACAGCCUUGCCAAUGGGUUUCGAAAAUGGGUGAGAAAGAAGGUGAGAAAACAAGCAUUGGUAUAGACCUUAGAUUAUAGAGCUGAUUUAUCUAACAAACUUAAAAUUGCAGAUUAUUAAACAAUUUGUAGUUGUUUUGCCCUUUCCAUUAACUUUAUAGAUAUAUAGCAAAUUAAACUAAUUAAAUAUUUUAGGAAAGAAUAGUGUAUCUUUAAACAUUUAUAAAUUAGCAUAUAUCCAUCAUUAGUGGAUUUGCACAUUUGGUGCCAUCUUCGUCGUUCACAAACACAUCAAACUUCAGGACUUCAAAUGAAACUCAAGCCACACCAAGAAUUCAAUUGUGUUGGAAGGCCUUUUCUACCAUUUAGGUAGAAACUGGAAGCAGUCUUUCUACUUAGGUAAAGGUAAGGUCUGCUUACAUCUUAACCUUCCCAAUACAUCGUCCAGGUAUUGGGGCUCAAAACCCGCAGAAAGCGACACUGAGCAGUUACUUAUAUAUAUAUAUAUAUAUAUUAAUUUGUAACUUGCAAGACCACAUGUGAAACGAGAAAGUUAAUCAAUUAAUCCCGGAUUCAAACUCCUAUUCCGAUAACUAAUUCUUCGAAUGUUUUGCUUUGGAUGAUCAAUGAGAUGCUGUGAUGAGAAGGCACAAAGGUCUAAGUUAUCGGUCGAUUUGGAAACACAGAAACAACUUCUUGGUGUCAAGUUUCUAUAUCUUUAAGUUAUUUCUUUCUUCUUUUGGAUCAAAUGCGCGCCGUAGCAUAUAUUAAAGUUUAAUUUGGCAUUUGUGGCACAUUAGCUUCACUUACUUAAUGUAACAUUCUAAUUUGUAAACUAUCUUCGGUGUUUUAAAGAUACAGCUGUUUUUAAUACAAUUCCCGUUGUUAAAAACAAAACUUGGCAUUUUUUAUACAGUCCAGACCCCCAGGUCCAAAAGCCCAUAAAACCAGGCCCAAACGAACAAUGACAAGACAAGCUCCCACCAUCUUCUUGAUCGAGUUUUUCCCCGCUUAAAAUAUAUAGUUGUUAGCAAUUCCUUUGUUUUAGGUCCACUUUCCAUGUAUUCUCUUUGGGAGGUGAUAUUUGUACCGUUGUAUUUGAUGGAUGUACGAUAAGGUACAAGCUUUAUAGUUAACUGUACAAACUAGUAUUGUACAGCCGUUCUAUUUCAUUUUCAUACGUUAUCUACAUUUAGUUAGAAUCAAUAGCAUUUUGUUUUGAAUUA
Molecule: long non-coding RNA, 2293 nt
Organism: Erigeron canadensis
Lineage: Eukaryota; Viridiplantae; Streptophyta; Magnoliopsida; Asterales; Asteraceae
Exons: 2
Source: RefSeq, a predicted model, not a curated record